RNAcentral lists this ribosomal RNA (484 nucleotides) under uncultured bacterium. Its description in RNAcentral is "partial 16S ribosomal RNA". It matches the Rfam family "Bacterial small subunit ribosomal RNA", at positions 29 to 507 of the family's 1533-position model. The record is from RNAcentral.
AUUGAACGCUGGCGGCAUGCUUUACACAUGCAAGUCGAACGGCAGCGCGGGCUUCGGCCUGGCGGCGAGUGGCGAACGGGUGAGUAAUACAUCGGAACGUGCCCAGUAGUGGGGGAUAGCUCGGCGAAAGCCGGAUUAAUACCGCAUACGACCUGAGGGUGAAAGCGGGGGAUCUUCGGACCUCGCGCUAUUGGAGCGGUCGAUGGCAGAUUAGCUAGUUGGUGGGGUAAAGGCCUACCAAGGCGACGAUCUGUAGCUGGUCUGAGAGGACGACCAGCCACACUGGGACUGAGACACGGCCCAGACUCCUACGGGAGGCAGCAGUGGGGAAUUUUGGACAAUGGGCGAAAGCCUGAUCCAGCAAUGCCGCGUGUGUGAUGAAGGCCUUCGGGUUGUAAAGCACUUUUGGCGGGAACGAAAAGGACUGUGCCAAUACCACGGUUCGAUGACGGUACCCACAGAAUAAGCACCGGCUAACUACGUG